RNAcentral lists this transfer RNA (96 nucleotides) under Candidatus Jordarchaeaceae archaeon. RNAcentral's name for it is "tRNA-Leu". It matches the Rfam family "tRNA". From Rfam's summary of the family: Transfer RNA (tRNA) molecules are approximately 80 nucleotides in length. Their secondary structure includes four short double-helical elements and three loops (D, anti-codon, and T loops). Lineage: Archaea; Promethearchaeati; Candidatus Jordarchaeia; Candidatus Jordarchaeales; Candidatus Jordarchaeaceae. RNAcentral also lists the same sequence under 1 other name. The record is from RNAcentral.
GCUCCGGUGGUGUAGUCCGGUCAAACAAACCAAAUGGACUAAGCAUAAGGGGCUCAAGAUCCUUUGACCCGGGUUCAAAUCCCGGCCGGAGCACCA